This 2589-nucleotide long non-coding RNA is filed under the name Ananas comosus (pineapple). Its description in RNAcentral is "long non-coding RNA (ACOM_LNC015884)". Lineage: Eukaryota; Viridiplantae; Streptophyta; Magnoliopsida; Poales; Bromeliaceae. The record is from RNAcentral.
AUUAAAAUUGUUAAUUUUGAGACAUUUUGAUCACUACCCAAAUGAUGUCGAAAAAUUAUGAAAUUUAGUUUCCAAAUACUUUUAAUAGUAUAGAUCAAGUCUAACGGAGCCGAUCGUUGAUUUGGAAGCCGUAUCAUUGAAAACAACUUGGUAGUACGGAGGUAUAUAUAUAUAUAUAUAUAUAGUCUAGAGCUACUAUGCUAUCGGAAGUAUAGAGCAUCUGAUGCUUCCAACUUUUUGACCAUUGGAUCAAAAAUUAUACGGUUAGGAUGAUUGCAGUCCCCCCAUUGUUGAGUAGUACCUCUAAGGUUGAGUGGUCCCCACAGGUUAAUAGUGUUAAUCCAAAGGUUAGAAAUGAUUGAAGGGGUUAAUUUAAGGGCUAAAAAAUCGGAAGCACAUCCUUUAUGCUUUCAAUAGCAUAGUAGCUCUACUAUAUAUAUAUAUAUGUGUGUGUGUGUGUGUGUGUGUGUGUACCAGAUCCUUUAUACUUCCAAUAGCAUAGUAGCUCUACUAUAUAUAUAUAAUUGAGUUAGAAUAUUUUUAGAAGUAUCGCCACUUUUCUACUUUUAGGUUUCUAGCCCUUGGAUCUACUCCUUAAUUACAAAUAGCCUUUUGAUCAAACACUAUUCCACCUACUACCAUCAUCCCAACCUUACAUUUCUCCAUCCAAUGAUUAAAAACUCAAAAGCACCAACCUCUAGGUGCUUUUGAGAGUAUUCUAGCUCAACUCUAUAUAUAUAUUGUGUGUGCGCGCGCGUGCAUGUGUGCGUGUGCGUGUGCGUGCGUGCGCGUGCGUGCGUGUGUUCUCUUAAGAGGAUAUAAGUUUUUGUCCUAUCAAAUUAUUUUGGAUGAUCAAAAUUUCAAAUUGAUAAUCGGCACCGUUGAAAUUAAUCUAUAUUAUUAGAAAUAUUUAGAAAUCGAAUUUUAUAAUUUUUAAAAAUUAUUAUCAAAUCCAUCAAAGAGUCGAAAAAUGAACAGUCAAAAAUAAAUGAUCAUAUGAAAAUAGAUGUUAGAUUUUUUCAAAUUGGAGUUAUUAAACAUUAUCUAAAUAGUAUAAAAAAUUUUCUAUCAAAAAUUCAACUGAUAAACAAGCAAAUGGCUUAUAUAGACCGUAAAAAACUGUCAAUUUUGCAAUUCUUUGAUCACUAUGUAAAUAAAUUUUAAAAUUUAUAAAAUUUAGUUUCUAGAUAAUUCAAAUACUCUAAAUUAACUUCAACCAUUUAAAUUAUCGAUUCGAGAUCUCUAUCAUCAAAUAUGAUUUAAUAGGACGAAGGUCCUUAUCCUCCCCGAAAAGGAUAACAGAUGGAUUAUAUAUAUAUAUAUAUAUAUAUAUAUAUAUAGAGAGAGAGAGAGAGAGAGAGAGAGAGAGAGAGAGAGAGAGAGAGCAGGGCUGCUGUGCUCUCAGGAGCACAGAGGCCUCCGUGCUCCUGACUCGUUUUCGAUGAUGGAGUUUCAAAUCAACGAUCGGGUCCGUUAGACUUGAUCUAGCAUAUUUGAAGUUUCUAGAAAAUAAUUUUUGCAAUUUUUCGAUAUCAUUUACCUAGCAAUCGAAAGAAUUCAAAAUCAAUAAUUUUUAACGGCGGAAAAUAAGAUUCCUAUAAAAAGUAGUGAUAUAGCAUUAAAAUUUUCGAUUAAAAAUAUUGAUCUUAUUGUAGAUAGUAUAAAGAAUUUUGUAUCAAAAUUUCAUCUAAUUUGAAUACUUUUACACCAUUAAAUUUGAAAACGGAAGAUAUCAACCAUUAAAAAUCAUGAAUUUUGAAUCCUUUCGAUCACUAGGUAAAUAAUAUCAAAAAAUUAUAAAAAUUAUUUUCUAAAAACUUCAAAUGCGAUAGAUCAAGUCUAACGGAGCCGAUCGUCGAUUCGAAAAUUCCAUCAUCAAAAACAGCUCAGGAGCACGGAGGCCUUCGUGCUCCUUAAAGCACAGCAGCCCUGCUAUAUAUAUAUAUAUAUAUAUAUAUAUAUAUAUAUAUAUAUAUAUAUAUAUAUAUAUAUAUAUAUAUAUGUAGAGUAAGUCUUCUGUAUUUUCGAAAGUAUGGAGACCUUCGUGCUUGUAAGUUGUUUUUGAUGAUAGGAAAUCCGAUUCGACAAUCGGCUCCGCUAAGUAUAAUUUACUCUAUUAGAACUAUUUAGAAACCAAAUUUUAUAAUUUUUUGAUAUCAUUUACCAAGCGAUCGAAAGGUCUCAAAAAUGACUAUUUUAAUGGCCGAUGUGGCACGUUUUUAAGUUCAAUGGUGUAGAAGUAUCCAAAUUAGAUGAAAAUUUAAUAGAAAAUUCUACUUAACAUCAAUAGUAAGAUUAAUACUUUCGAUUUGAAAUUUGAGUCCUUUAUCGCUAUUUUUUUAUGAGAUUUUCGUUUUCAGCCGUUAAUUUUAAGGCUACUCGUUUAUUAAACAAACGAAAUCAAAAAAUUAUGAAAUUUGAUUUCUAGAUAGUUCCAACAACGUCGAUCAUGUCUUACUGAACCGAUCGCCGAAUCGGAUAUCCCAUUAUUGAAAAUAAUUUAUUAGUAUGGAGGCUCCCGUACUUUUGAAAGCAUAGGAGCGCUAGUCUAGCGCGCGCUCUCUCUCUCUCUCUCUCUCUCUAUAUAUA